This 433-nucleotide ribosomal RNA is filed under the name uncultured bacterium. RNAcentral's name for it is "partial 16S ribosomal RNA". It matches the Rfam family "Bacterial small subunit ribosomal RNA", at positions 29 to 507 of the family's 1533-position model. The record is from RNAcentral.
AACGAACGCUGGCGGCAUGCCUAACACAUGCAAGUCGAACGAGACCUUCGGGUCUAGUGGCGCACGGGUGCGUAACGCGGGGGAACCUGCCCUUAGGUUCGGAAUAACUCCCCGAAAGGGGUGCUAAUACCGGAUAAUGUCUUCGGACCAAAGAUUUAUCGCCUUUGGAUGGGCCCGCGUUGGAUUAGCUAGUUGGGAGGGUAAAAGCCUACCAAGGCGACGAUCCAUAGCUGGUCUGAGAGGAUGAUCAGCCACACUGGGACUGAGACACGGCCCAGACUCCUACGGGAGGCAGCAGUGGGGAAUAUUGGACACUGGGCGAAAGCCUGAUCCAGCAAUGCCGCGUGAGUGAUGAAGGCCUUAGGGUUGUAAAGCUCUUUUACCCGGGAUGAUAAUGACAGUACCGGGAGAAUAAGCUCCGGCUAACUCCGUG